UGACGGCGCCCGCGACCACGACAAGGAUGGCGACCAUCUCUUCGGAAGCCUAACGAUCCAGCACAGGUCCCAGCCCUGCGCAGCCGCCCGCCAAGCCGCCAGAGGACCAGCCGAACGCCAAAGGCUAGGAGUGGACGAUUGCAGGAAGUUUCCAACUCGCCGACUUCGCCCCACUCCACUGGCUCCGGCUUGGCGGUCCCCGGCUUCGGGGUGCCCUCCGUCCCUCCCCCUCGCGUCGUCGCGUUCUCCCUUGGCAUAACCCCCCGCCGCGGGGCCGCAGACCCCCUAAGCGCUUCGUGCGCUCUCCGCGCCCUGCCCACCGGCCCCGACCCCUCCCCCGACCGGACGGGAGAGGUGGGAAGUUUGGGGGCACCCGCUGUGGGUGUCCCAUUUGCGGGGCUGGGCUCCGGGGAGCCGGCGCGCGGCGCCCGCUCCCUGCCCGCCAGCCGUUUGGGAGCUCAGGCGCGGGCAGCCGCUUUUGUUCCCGGGAAGGGCGGAGCUGCGUCCCGGGGAGACACGCGUUGCAGCCGGCAGCGUAGUUGCUCCCCGCUGGCCGGCCGCUCCGGGAGGGCCCCGCAGCGGAGGGUCGGGGCUGGGGCGGGCUGGGGAGGGGGCCCAGGGCUGGGGCCGGUUCGGCCUCCCGGGUGGCGCGCGGGCCGAGGAGCUAGGAGGACCGCCGCGCCGCUUGUCCUUUGGAUAAACCUUGGCGGUUCCUCCUCUGGUGUCCGUGGACCCCGCCGCGGCGUUCUCCAGGGCCGCGGACCUUUGCCCACCGGUUGCGCCCGCUGCCCCGGGCAGAAAGGACCCCCCUCCUCCCGGACCGAGCCCCGAGCCCCAUGGAGCAGGCAAGGGCCAGAGUCCCGGGGCCGAGGCCCGACCGGCGGACGCUCCGGGACCUUUUCCCGCCCCCGAGGGUGCAUGUCCGGCCGGGGCCGGGACUGGCUGGGAAACCGAGGCCAGAAGAGGUCGCAAUCCAGCGAGGAAUCGGACUUUCCUGCAUUCCUACAGCAAAUCCUGGUUGGUCAUGGUGGAGACUGUAAAGCAAUCAUUCUCAAGGAGGGGCUUUUUCACGCAGUAUGCCUGGAGAGAGGCUGCACCACCACCGCGUUCCUCCCCGAUGAGUCCAGUGAGCCACGGCUGCGGGCUACGGUGUUGUGGUGCUCGGGUGUGUUGGAAGGAAAUGGUUCCCGAGGCAUGCCAGCUAGCACCUGACCUACAAGAUUCCAGCUGUUUAACUGCCAUCACAAAGGCUCAUGAUGUGUUGACAGUAUUUCUGCCUGCUGCUCUGAAAAUUCAAGGAAAUAAAUACCUGACAUUUAUUGAAUGCCAGAAGCUGUUCUAAGAACUUUCUAUGUAUUAUCUAUUUUAGUCAUUAUAAUAUCCUUAUGAAAUAGGCACUUUUAUCCCCAUUUUACAGAUGAAUAAAAUAAGGCACAGAAGGGUUAAGCAACUUUCACAGGUAGAAAGCUGCACAGCCAGGAUUUAAGCCCAAGCUCUUAACCACUGCACUACAUCAAUGCAGCAAAGGCUGAAUGAACCAGAGUAUUUGAUUUACUUAGCUCUUAUGCUGGAAAGAUGGUGAGGCUUUUGCUCAUGGUCUGUAUUCAAGCACAAAUACCAAAAUCAAGGACACCUUUGCAUUGGUGCUCCAUAGGAGGUUUCCUUUUUUGUUGUUUAGAGAGAAGGUCUUACUCUGUUGCCCUGGCUGGAGUGCAGUGGUGCGAUCACAGCUCACUGCAGCCUUGACCUCCAGAGCUCAAGCAAUCCUCCACCUCAGCCUCCUGAGUAGCUGGGACUAUAGGUGCGCACUUCCACACCCAGCUAAUUUUUAAUUUUUUUUUUUUUGUAGAGACCGUCUCCCUAUAUUGCCCAGGUUGGUCUAGAAUUCCUAGGGCUCAAGUGAUCCUCCCGCCUUGGCCUAUUGGGAUUACAGAUAUGAGCCAUGGCACCCAACCUCAGAAGAGGCGCUUUUCUUGAGUUCUGGAAGGGGAUAGGAAUUAAUGUUUUGUUUGUUUGUUUGUUUUUUACUCGUCACAGAAAAGGUUCAAAGAGUAAGAUAAGCAACGUCUCAUAAUGCUGUAGUCUAAUGGACAAGGGCCCUAGCCAUCUGUGCCUGGAUGACUCUUCCUCCCAAUUUUUAAGUGUCAAAAGAUAAUUUAGAAUCUGGCAUUCUGCAUUAGAAAUCUGAACCAGUGGAGCUGUGUGCUGAUUUUCAUCAGCUUAAGUUGUCUUUAUUGUCAGUGGCUUCCUUUCCCCACAGCAGCUUUAUGGAGGCACGUGCCCAGGCAUAUGAGGAGCUUCUGUCCUUUAGUGUAUGUACACCCACAAUGCUGCAGAGAAGAGAAUCAGCAUACUGUUGGGACACAGCAGGUACCACUGCCUUCUGAAGUUUCUAGAGGUGCUAUGCCUUCAUUGUUUUCCUGCACAUGAACAUUAACAUCCACAUCAGGAUCUGGAAACCUUUACAGAAGCUGAAGUUUUAAAAAGAAAAUGAAUGGGAUUUUAUUCAAGAUAAGGAAAGGAUAAGAGUGAAUCAUCAAAUGAAACCAUGAGGCCACUUCACAAAUAUUUUAUCAAAAAACUCACCUGAGAAAACUCAAAGAAUCACAGUAAUAAGCUGUCUAUGCCAUAUUUUUUUUUUCCUUUUUUGAAAAUGCCAAGAAGCUACUACUAAGAAUGUAUUCAAGAGACGGAAGUUCCAAGAUUCAUCACAGGGUCAGGUGGGCUCAACUUAGUUUCCUGGGCCCUCUAUAACACUUCAUGUUCAGAAUUGUCUCCAAAUAAAAGCAAUUUAAGGGAACAUUCAAUAUGGGUGUCUUUGCUGUGCUUGCAGUCUUAAUUCUGUGGACACUGAUAUUCUAUCAAUGGAAAAUUGAGCCUUUAGUGAACUUGAAUACCCUGUUCCCCAAUCACUGCCCAGAGAGCAGUUUCUGAGCAGCCAACAUGUCAGAGGCAGGAAAACAGCAGCUAAAAGGCAAAGGAGAAAAAUGGAAGACACCUGCCUUUACACGUGUAUUUUAAGCUAAAUAACCAUGAUAAAAUAUCACCAACACCCAUUUUUUGUAACUUCUUAAUUGUCCCACAUCAAAGAUAAGUAUGGACAACUGUAAUUGGUUCUUAUAUAUCCCUAAAUUCCUAAUUGAAAUCAAUUCCAAUAAAUCGUUGGUGCUCAGUAGAAAAAUGCAAAAUUUAAAUAUAUAUAUUCAGUAGAAGUUACCUUCAUAACUUGUGGGGCAUUAUCAAAAUAUAAUUGGAAACCCCUCUUUGUAACCAACUAACCAAAUGAUCUUUUCUUAAAGGCACAAAUUAAAAGGUGGCAAAACAACCAUAUAUUUAGUGUGUGGGAUCACAUUCUCCUAAAGAGCAUCAGGAAAUGUAGGUAGAAGUCAAUGUUGUAGCCUAGGUUAGAAGGCCCUGCUUGCUGGGAGUUAACUCUGGUUAUUGGAUUGUGGGGAGGUGUGGCAGGGAAGGUGGUCAGGGGAACACGGGCACUCCAGAAGCUCGGAGCAGCAGCUCAUCAGCUGUGAGGCACCGUCAGCAUCCUUGCGUCCUGUGUGGCUGUGAGGCACCGUCAGCAUCCUCGCGUCCUGUGUGGCUGUGAGGCACUGUCAGCAUCCUCGCGUCCUGUGUGGCUGUGAGGCACCGUCAGCAUCCUCGCGUCCUGUGUGGCUGUGAGGCACCGUCAGCAUCCUCGGUCCUGUGCGGCUGUGAGGCACUGUCAGCAUCCUCGCAUCCUGUGCAGCUGGGCCAGGACAAACUGGCUGAACUGCAGCUCUGCUUGCAGCUUGCUAGAAAUACAACUUGGUAACAACAGGAGAUUGUGGACACACUAUUUUUCGUUAGUUUAUUACAAAACUACAGAUACAAUACACAAAAUUCUAAUUCCGAAAUCCUUCUACAUUUUUU
This 3906-nucleotide long non-coding RNA is filed under the name Homo sapiens (human). RNAcentral's name for it is "HSALNT0390897". Lineage: Eukaryota; Metazoa; Chordata; Mammalia; Primates; Hominidae. The record is from RNAcentral.